Molecule: ribosomal RNA, 466 nt
Filed under: uncultured bacterium
Lineage: Bacteria
Description: partial 16S ribosomal RNA
Rfam family: Bacterial small subunit ribosomal RNA
Source: RNAcentral
GACGAACGCUGGCGGCGUGCUUAACACAUGCAAGUCGAACGGAAAGGCUCCAGCUUGCUGGAGUACUCGAGUGGCGAACGGGUGAGUAACACGUGGGUAAUCUGCCCUGCACUCUGGGAUAAGCCUGGGAAACUGGGUCUAAUACUGGAUAUGACCUUUCUCCUUAUGGGGUUUGGUGGAAAGUUUUUCGGUGUAGGAUGAGCCCGCGGCCUAUCAGCUUGUUGGUGGGGUGAUGGCCUACCAAGGCGACGACGGGUAGCCGGCCUGAGAGGGUGAUCGGCCACAUUGGGACUGAGAUACGGCCCAGACUCCUACGGGAGGCAGCAGUGGGGAAUAUUGCACAAUGGGCGGAAGCCUGAUGCAGCGACGCCGCGUGGGGGAUGACGGCCUUCGGGUUGUAAACCUCUUUCAGCAGGGACGAAGCGUAAGUGACGGUACCUGCAGAAGAAGCACCGGCUAACUAUGU